AGCGUAGGCGGAUUUUUAAGUGAGAUGUGAAAUACUCGGGCUUAACCUGAGUGCUGCAUUUCAAACUGGAAGUCUAGAGUGCAGGAGAGGAGAAGGGAAUUCCUAGUGUAGCGGUGAAAUGCGUAGAGAUUAGGAAGAACACCAGUGGCGAAGGCGCUUCUCUGGACUGUAACUGACGCUGAGGCUGAAAGCGUGGGGAGCGAACA
This 206-nucleotide ribosomal RNA is filed under the name uncultured bacterium. RNAcentral's name for it is "partial 16S ribosomal RNA". It matches the Rfam family "Bacterial small subunit ribosomal RNA", at positions 568 to 774 of the family's 1533-position model. The record is from RNAcentral.